UACGGAGGAUGCGAGCGUUAUCCGGAUUUAUUGGGUUUAAAGGGUGCGUAGGCGGGCUUUUAAGUCAGUGGUAAAAAUUCGGGGCUCAACCCCGUCCGGCCGUUGAAACUGGGGGUCUUGAGUGGGCGAGAAGAAGGCGGAAUGCGUGGUGUAGCGGUGAAAUGCAUAGAUAUCACGCAGAAUCCCGAUUGCGAAGGCAGCCUUCCGGCGCCCUACUGACGCUGAGGCACGAAAGUGCGGGGAUCGAACAGG
This 252-nucleotide ribosomal RNA is filed under the name uncultured bacterium. RNAcentral's name for it is "partial 16S ribosomal RNA". It matches the Rfam family "Bacterial small subunit ribosomal RNA", at positions 524 to 776 of the family's 1533-position model. The record is from RNAcentral.